AAAAUUGUUGCAGUUAAAACGUUCGUAGUUGAAUAUUAAAGAAUCCGAUGUUUCAUUUAAACUGGUUUGGGAAAACCAAAUAUAUUAUAUAUUUUGCUUUGUUCAAAAUAAGGUUUUCUAAUAAAUUAUGUUUUUAUCAGAUAUGACAGAAUCUUUUUUAAAAUCUCUUCAAUAUGCUUUUAUUGCUUUUGAGAGGUUUUGUUACUUUGAGUAAAAUUAAGUGUUCAUAACAGACGGGUAGUCAUGAUUGAGUUCAUUGUGUUUGAAUACUACAGCAUGGAAUAACAAAUAUGAAUAAGCUAAUUAUUUUUUUUUUUCAUAAUUUUUUUUGAUAUUCUUAUUAGCUUAGUUACGAUUAAUAGGAGUAGCUUUGGGGGCAUUCGUAUUCAGAUGUCAGAGGUGAAAUUCUAAGAUUUUCUGGAGACGGACUACUGCGAAAGCAUUUGCCUAAUCUAUUUCCAUUAAUCAAGAACGAAAGUUAAGGGAGUGAAGACGAUCAGAUACCGUCGUAAUCUUAACCAUAAACUAUACCGACUAGGUGUUGGAUGAAAGUGUUAAAAAUAAAAGUCAUCUUUCGAGGUGACUUUUAGAUUGCUUCCUUCAGUACCUUAUGAGAAAUCAAAGUCUUUGGGUUCUGGGGCGAGUAUUCGCGCAAGCGAGAAAGUUAAAAGAAUUGACGGAAGGGCACCACCAGGCGUGGAGCUUGCGGCUUAAUUUGACUCAACACGGGGAAACUCACUAGUUUAAGACAAGAGUAGGAUUGACAGAUUAAUAGCUCUUUCUUGAUUUCUUGGAUGGUGAUGCAUGGCCGUUUUUAGUUCGUGAAUAUGAUUUGUCUGGUUAAUUCCGAUAACGAACGAGAUCUUAACCUGCUAAUUAGCGGCGAGUACACUAUAUUCUUAUUUGAAAUUGAACAUAGGUAACUAUACAUUUAUUCAGUAAUCAAAUUAGGAUAUUUUUAUUAAAAUAUCCUUUUCCCUGUUCUACUAAUAAUUUGUUUUUUACUCUAUUUCUCUCUUCUUUUAAGAAUGUACUUGCUUGAUUGAAAAGCUUCUUAGAGGAACAUUGUGUGUCUAACACAAGGAAGUUUAAGGCAACAACAGG
Molecule: ribosomal RNA, 1104 nt
Filed under: Plasmodium falciparum (malaria parasite P. falciparum)
Lineage: Eukaryota; Apicomplexa; Aconoidasida; Haemosporida; Plasmodiidae
Description: SSU rRNA
Rfam family: Eukaryotic small subunit ribosomal RNA
Source: RNAcentral